GACGAACGCUGGCGGCGUGCUUAACACAUGCAAGUCGAACGGAAAGGCCCUGCUUUUGUGGGGUGCUCGAGUGGCGAAAGGGUGAGUAACACGUGAGUAACCUGCCCUUGACUUUGGGAUAACUUCAGGAAACUGGGGCUAAUACCGGAUAGGAGCUCCUGCUGCAUGGUGGGGUUUGGAAAGUUUCGGCGGUUGGGGAUGGACUCGCGGCUUAUCAGCUUGUUGGUGGGGUAGUGGCUUACCAAGGCUUUGACGGGUAGCCGGCCUGAGAGGGUGACCGGCCACAUUGGGACUGAGAUACGGCCCAGACUCCUACGGGAGGCAGCAGUGGGGAAUAUUGCACAAUGGGCGGAAGCCUGAUGCAGCAACGCCGCGUGCGGGAUGACGGCCUUCGGGUUGUAAACCGCUUUCGCCUGUGACGAAGCGUGAGUGACGGUAAUGGGUAAAGAAGCACCGGCUAACUACGUG
This 468-nucleotide ribosomal RNA is filed under the name uncultured bacterium. RNAcentral describes it as "partial 16S ribosomal RNA". It matches the Rfam family "Bacterial small subunit ribosomal RNA", at positions 28 to 507 of the family's 1533-position model. The record is from RNAcentral.